This 670-nucleotide ribosomal RNA is filed under the name uncultured Alphaproteobacteria bacterium. RNAcentral describes it as "bacterial SSU rRNA". It matches the Rfam family "Bacterial small subunit ribosomal RNA", at positions 67 to 783 of the family's 1533-position model. Lineage: Bacteria; Pseudomonadati; Pseudomonadota; Alphaproteobacteria. The record is from RNAcentral.
CGCAGUAGCAAUACUGAGUGGCAGACGGGUGAGUAUAAUGUGGGAAUCUGCCUUUUGGUUUGGAAUAACACGGGGAAACUUGUGCUAAUACCGGAUAAGCCCUUACGGGGAAAGUUUUAAUGCCGAAAGAUGAGCCCGCACUUGAUUAGCUAGUUGGUAAGGUAAAAGCUUACCAAGGCAACGAUCAAUAGCUGUUCUUAGAGGAAGACCAGCCACAUUGGGACUGAGACACGGCCCAGACUCCUACGGGAGGCAGCAGUGGGGAAUCUUGCACAAUGGGGGAAACCCUGAUGCAGCGAUGCCGCGUGAGUGAAGAAGGCCCUUGGGUUGUAAAACUCUUUCGUCGGGGAAGAAAAUGACUGUACCCGAAUAAGAAGGUCCGGCUAACUUCGUGCCAGCAGCCGCGGUAAUACGAAGGGACCUAGCGUAGUUCGGAAUUACUGGGCUUAAAGAGCUCGUAGGUGGUUAAAAAAGUUGAUGGUGAAAUCCUAAGGCUUAACCUUGGAACUGCCAUCAAAACUUUUUAGCUAGAGUGUGAUAGAGGUAAGUGGAAUUUCUAGUGUAGAGGUGAAAUUCGUAGAUAUUAGAAAGAACAUCAAAUGCGAAGGCAACUUACUGGGUCACUACUGACACUGAGGAGCGAAAGCAUGGGUAGCGAAGAGGAUUAGAU